AAUCAACGCUGGCGGCGUGCCUCAGACAUGCAAGUCGAACGCGAAAGUCCCCCUCGGGGGACAAGUAGAGUGGCGCACGGGUGAGUAACACGUAGGUAAUCUACCUUCGGGUGGGGAAUAACAAUCGGAAACGGUUGCUAAUACCGCAUAAUGCAGCGGCACCUAAUGGUGACAGUUGUUUAAAGCGGGGGAGUCGCAAGAUCUCGCGCCUGAAGAGGAGCCUGCGGCGGAUUAGCUAGUUGGUAGGGUAAUGGCCUACCAAGGCGACGAUCCGUAGCCGGCCUGAGAGGGCGGUCGGGCCACACUGACACUGACAUACGGGUCAGACUCCUACGGGAGGCAGCAGUCGGGAAUUUUGGGCAAUGGGCGAAAGCCUGACCCAGCAACGCCGCGUGAAGGAUAG
Molecule: ribosomal RNA, 403 nt
Filed under: uncultured bacterium
Lineage: Bacteria
Description: bacterial SSU rRNA
Rfam family: Bacterial small subunit ribosomal RNA
Source: RNAcentral